Molecule: long non-coding RNA, 1625 nt
Organism: Felis catus (domestic cat)
Lineage: Eukaryota; Metazoa; Chordata; Mammalia; Carnivora; Felidae
Exons: 2
Source: RefSeq, a predicted model, not a curated record
AUUUCCUCCAGGCCUCACGGCCUCUCGGUCGCCCCUCUCCACUUCCGGCGCGGGACCCCCGCCCCCGUCCUCGCGCACCCCACACGCACGCAGUUUCGAGCCUUCCGGGGGCUGAGUCACUCAAGUCCCGAGAAUUACCGCAGUGACCUCGAGCAGCCUGGGCGCAGCUCCGGGUGGUCUCAGGGUCCGCGCCCCCGCCCGGCCACCCCGCCCGCUCCCUGGCGUCCAAUCCGUCGCUGAGUUCCAAGCCACGCCCUGAUCCGACUGGGCUCCUACAGCCGGGACCCCCGCCCCGCCUCCGUUUCUUGAGCGCUCAGCUACCGCGCGCAGCGGCCUCCGGUGCCCCUCGGACCUCUCCGGCCCCAGGACCGGAUCGGGGACGUGGAGCUCCGGGAGGGCCGGGCCGGUGUGACUCAGCCUGGUGCCCGGGUUCAGCCCCUACUGCCUGUAGGUGCUCAAGCAUGUUUGGGGAUGAAAGCGGGCCUUGGUGUCUCUGGUGGGUAAAUGGGGCCAAAGGAUGCUACCCUCACCCAUCUCUCCCAUCACCCUCCCCUGGCAAAGAAAGACAUUCAAGGGUAUAAAGAACACAGUUUAUUCUGAGGCCAUCAUACCCCAGGUACCACGUGGAUGUUGAGUUUGGGCUGCCCACUCCCAAGUGCUGGUCACCUGAGGUCAGCUAAGAAGACAGGCAGAGGUAGGGGAGUGGCCACAACCAAAGUAGCAAAAGGCACCCCUGUUCUCGGGGUCAGAGACUAGAGUGGAUGUCAAGAAUCCCAUGACCUAUAUUGACCCUGAGCAUUGACCCUGACUAACCUCUCUGAACCUGAGUGGCCCUGAUGCUUGGCAGUGACCGGUGUCCAGUUGAGGGAUCCUGAUAGAUUGCCUCCAAAAGGGUUUUAGUACCUGAGGCCAUGUAGUCUUUCCUUACAGGAACUCUCCAGACACCCCAGCUGAACAAACACCUUCUGAGUCCUUUCCCCCUUGGUCAGAAUGCUGGGAUGGUCAGAGAUGGUCCUCGACUUCCUCAGGUUGGGAGUCUGGGCAGCAGGUGGCCUUGGGCACAGCCUCGCUGUGUAGCUUGGAGAGUAGCCGGGCUGUCUCUUGGGUGAUCUCAAAAUGCUUGGGCAGCGGGGUGCGGCGCAGAGGGCUGCCCUCAGGGGAGGAGGCGGUAGGGCCAGGUCCCCUCCUCCGCAAGCUUCCUCGGGGCACUGAUGUCACAAGGGUCUCCUCGCACAAUUUGGAAGCCACCAGGGCCAAGCUGGACAGCUGGUGGGUGACUGGCCGAACGCCGCCCCGGGGAUAUUUCACUGGCUGGCGGCUGAAGUGACCACGGGAUUGUGUUCCCAGGAGUGAGUCCUCUGGACCUUGGCUGGACACUGUGGGUUGGGGUGGUCAGUGCUGAGCAUCCCUAAGUCCUCAGGGUAUCUCCUGGGAGUCAUCUCUCAGCUAAGCCACCCCAAGCAAGGAUAUCCCUAUAACUCCUGGGCUCCCCCCUACUUACUCACCUUCCUCUCCUUCCUCUUUGGUGUCAUCAGCCACUUCUCCGUCGUCACUCUGUGGAACUGGAAUCUACAGGAACAAACCGAAGACCAAAACCCCAACAAUAAAAUUCCAGUUCUUUGAGA